GUCCCUGUAGCUUAAACCAAAGCAUAGCACUGAAAAUGCUAAGACGGGAUACCACCCCAAGGAC
RNAcentral lists this transfer RNA (64 nucleotides) under Eclectus roratus (Eclectus parrot). Its description in RNAcentral is "tRNA-Phe". It matches the Rfam family "tRNA". From Rfam's summary of the family: Transfer RNA (tRNA) molecules are approximately 80 nucleotides in length. Their secondary structure includes four short double-helical elements and three loops (D, anti-codon, and T loops). Lineage: Eukaryota; Metazoa; Chordata; Aves; Psittaciformes; Psittacidae. The record is from RNAcentral.